This 176-nucleotide small nuclear RNA is filed under the name Nomascus leucogenys (northern white-cheeked gibbon). RNAcentral's name for it is "7SK RNA". It matches the Rfam family "7SK RNA", at positions 1 to 189 of the family's 331-position model. From Rfam's summary of the family: 7SK was discovered as an abundant small nuclear RNA in the mid-70s but a possible function has only recently been suggested. Two independent studies have found that 7SK RNA binds the CDK9/cyclin T complex (known as elongation factor P-TEFb). The record is from Rfam by way of RNAcentral. Lineage: Eukaryota; Metazoa; Chordata; Mammalia; Primates; Hylobatidae.
GGGGAUGAUAUGAAUCUGGCUGCAGUACCAGUCACCACAUUGAUGGCCCGAAUUGAUUCCAUUGACCUGGCAGACUGGACUGGUGUUUCCUUAUUUUCUCAUGUGCAGUUUUCCUAAAGUUGUAUAUUCAGGAAGAAAAACUUAAUUUCCUGGACUAUUCUGGACAUAUGAUUCAG